Tripterygium wilfordii is the source of this 1105-nucleotide long non-coding RNA. RefSeq lists it as uncharacterized. Lineage: Eukaryota; Viridiplantae; Streptophyta; Magnoliopsida; Celastrales; Celastraceae. The transcript is spliced from 2 exons. The record is from RefSeq and is a predicted model, not a curated record.
GGGAUUGGAUUUCCAGCACACCUCCUGUUCAUGUAAACGGAGCUCCGUUUUGUCGGAUUGUGAGCUAAAUGUGCCGCUUAUUCUGACAGUAUUAUAUGCUGCGGCAGUUGGCUCGUGCUCAUCCAUCAUACAAAGGUGGAAAUCUGUCCGAGUGUUGUCCGCAUCGGAGGGCGCCAAAGUGAUGGUUGUAUUGUUGCAACGGCUCCUGACGUUGUGAGGUCUCUAUAUGGCCCAAUUAGCUCGCACUCUGGUUGAAAGUCAUUAUGAAUGAAAUAGCAAGCCCGGCCCACUUCCAGAUUGACUAAACACUUGUACAUUACCGGGCCUAUGUCUUGUUGGGCUUAGCUUCAAUACGGAGAUCUGGAGAUCCUCCCGUACGUGUCAAACAUAUCACGUGAUAUAUAUGUCUUUUGUCCUGCAUUGAAUUGAGGUCAAAUGGUCUCUGCCUUUCCCUUGAAGCACAAGAAAGUAGUAAGUACGCAUGGGCAAUGGAAGCUGCCAAAUAUGUAUGCGGUCAUAUUGUGUCAAUCUCUACUAGAAUUGACACAUCCGUUGAACAAGGUUUCCUAGAAAAUGGAACAUCUUUUGUUCAUUUGCCAGGAUCCUUCCAUUUUCUCUACAAAUGUAAAGCAGUCAAACCAAAAUUGGCUUACUCACCAAGAAAUCAAAACCUAUAUAAGACCCAAUUCAACCAAAAGUGAUGCACCACAACAACUACACACAUUCUAAAGCAACUACUCUUUGUGUGAUAAAGAGUGUUGAGGGUUGGUGAUUCCAAAUAGUAUAAUUAAUUAAGAUAGGUAAGGGUAAGAAAGUGAUGAGCUGGUGCAACCCUUCAUCAGUCUUGAAGUUCUUAGCUUCCUUCUUAUUUGGCUCGGGUGAUGGUGGAACCAAAACAAGUGGGAGAAAGAGUAAUAAUAGUCUACUGGCACCCAAUCUUGGGCCAGAGGAAGCCAUAGCCGCUGCUUCAAAGCAUUUCUCUAGUAAAGUUUGUAUUGGUCAUUGACCGCAUGCUGCUGCAGUACUAUAUGUAGUCUGAAUUUGCUGUAUAAUUAUUUUUAUUUUUAUUUUUAGCAUUUGCUGUAUAAAUACUCUUUCCUUUACA